CGCCUCUUGCACAACCUGGUAUAAGAGGUCCUGCCUGCCCUGUGACUAUACGUUUAACGGCCGCGGUAUUUUGACCGUGCAAAGGUAGCGCAAUCACUUGUCUUUUAAAUGAAGACCUGUAUGAAUGGCACGACGAGGGCUUAACUGUCUCCUUCCCCCAGUCAAUGAAACUGAUCUGCUCGUGCAGAAGCGAGCAUAAAAACAUAAGACGAGAAGACCCUAUGGAGCUUUUAGACGCAUGAGCAGACCAAGUUAAAAGACCUGAUUAAUGGAACAAACUGAAUGGAAUCCGCCCAGAUGUCUUUGGUUGGGGCGACCGCGGGGAAACACAAAACCCCCACGAAGAGAAGGUAUUAGCCUUUGUAGCCAAAAACAGCAGUUUGAAGCAUCAAAACAUUUGACCGUAAGAUCCGGCAAAGCCGAUCAACGAACCAAGUUACCCUAGGGAUAACAGCGCAAUCCCCUUUUAGAGUCCCUAUCAACAAGGGGGUUUACGACCUCGAUGUUGGAUCAGGACAUCCUAAUGGUGCAGCAGCUAUUAAGGGUUCGUUUGUUCAACGAUUAAAGUCCU
This 571-nucleotide ribosomal RNA is filed under the name Dunckerocampus chapmani. Its description in RNAcentral is "partial 16S ribosomal RNA". It matches the Rfam family "Bacterial large subunit ribosomal RNA", at positions 1816 to 2597 of the family's 2925-position model. The record is from RNAcentral. Lineage: Eukaryota; Metazoa; Chordata; Actinopteri; Syngnathiformes; Syngnathidae.